AUUGAACGCUGGCGGCAUGCUUUACACAUGCAAGUCGAACGGUAACAGGCCUUCGGGUGCUGACGAGUGGCGAACGGGUGAGUAAUGCAUCGGAACAUACCCAGUCGUGGGGGAUAACGUAGCGAAAGUUACGCUAAUACCGCAUACGUCCUGAGGGAGAAAGCGGGGGAUCGCAAGACCUCGCGCGAUUGGAGUGGCCGAUGUCAGAUUAGCUAGUUGGUGGGGUAAAGGCCCACCAAGGCGACGAUCUGUAGCGGGUCUGAGAGGAUGAUCCGCCACACUGGGACUGAGACACGGCCCAGACUCCUACGGGAGGCAGCAGUGGGGAAUUUUGGACAAUGGGGGAAACCCUGAUCCAGCCAUGCCGCGUGCGGGAAGAAGGCCU
Molecule: ribosomal RNA, 385 nt
Filed under: uncultured bacterium
Lineage: Bacteria
Description: bacterial SSU rRNA
Rfam family: Bacterial small subunit ribosomal RNA
Source: RNAcentral